Molecule: ribosomal RNA, 253 nt
Filed under: uncultured bacterium
Lineage: Bacteria
Description: partial 16S ribosomal RNA
Rfam family: Bacterial small subunit ribosomal RNA
Source: RNAcentral
UACGUAGGUGGCAAGCGUUGUCCGGAUUUACUGGGCGUAAAGAGCGCGCAGGCGGCUGGGCAAGUCCGAUGUGAAAGCUUCCGGCUUAACUGGAAAAUUGCAUCGGAAACUGCUCGGCUUGAAGGUGGGAGAGGGUAGCGGAAUUCCCGGUGUAGUGGUGAAAUGCGUAGAUAUCGGGAGGAACACCAGUGGCGAAGGCGGCUACCCGGCCCACUCUUGACGCUGAGGCGCGAAAGCUAGGGGAGCAAACGGG